UUGAUUACGUCCCUGCCCUUUGUACACACCGCCCGUCGCUGCCCGGGACUGAGCCAUUUCGAGAAACUUGGGGACCGCUGAUUUCCAGGCUCUCGGGCCUGCUUAUUGGUGGGAACCAAUUUAAUCGCAGUGGCUUGAACCGGGCAAAAGUCGUAACAAGGUAGCUGUAGGUGAACCUGCUGCUGGAUCAUUACAUAUACAUUCGCCCAAUGUGUAAUUUUGGUCAAAUACGCGUUUGCGCGUUCUAAACAAACGCGCAUUCUGUGUUGAAGAGCACACUCUGUGAGUAGGGUGCAAGUUGUUUGUGCGCAGUAUGCACUUUGAAUCGUCUCUAUCGGUGCAUGUCGGCAUAGAUGGCGACUAUCCGCUCAACUACCCGUGCAGUCAGCUAGCUGCUGGAUAGUUCCACUCAGUACAGAUAGAGUGGCUUUUGCGAUGGAGCGGUCAAGUAAACGGCUAACGCUGGUGUCUGUGUGUUGCUGAGCAGUCGUAUUCGUCCGUGGCUGUGAUGAGGCAAUGCGGUAGGGCCUGCUUGCGCACUUUUGCUUGCAUGGCUUAAGACUUAAUGAGCCCCCCCCCUCUUCUUGUCCAAGGGACGCCAGCAAAACCCAUUUUUUUCACAUUUUUUUUAUGAUUGCUCUCAGAAGCAAACAAGUAAAGAAUUCUAGUCUUAUCGGUGGAUCACUCGGCUCGUAGGUCGAUGAAGAACGCAGCUAACUGCGAUAAAUAGUGUGAACUGCAGAAACCUUGAACACAAAAGCUUCGAAUGCACAUUGCACCAUGGGAGUCUUAUCCCUUGGUACGCCUGGUUCAGGGUCGUAAACCAAAAACGCAUAUGAAUUGCGUACAAUUUAUUGAUGGGUUCAUCACUCGACUGUCUCUCUAGAGUGUUCCCAUAAUUCGAGCAUUCAGUUGCAAACUGGCGUGUAUGUGGGAUGGACACUUGAGCUUUGUAUGUGGGCAUACAAAUUAUAGCUCGUGGACAUCGGGGUGAAAUAUUCCCCUCGAAUCACUAUAGGCCAGCCACAGCGACUAUGCUCAUUGCACACACACACAACAGUACACACAUAUGUGUUGUGUUGUGAACAACAACUAUGUAUAUUAUUAUAUACAUUUGCAUUUUCGACCUGAACUCAGACGUGAAUACCCGCUGAACUUAAGCAUAUCAGUAAGCGGAGGAAAAGAAACUAACAAGGAUUCCCUUAGUAACGGCGAGUGAAA
This 1221-nucleotide ribosomal RNA is filed under the name Pratylenchus loosi. RNAcentral describes it as "eukaryotic LSU rRNA". The stretch from base 1 to 193 matches the Rfam family "Eukaryotic small subunit ribosomal RNA", at positions 1641 to 1831 of the family's 1831-position model. The record is from RNAcentral. Lineage: Eukaryota; Metazoa; Nematoda; Chromadorea; Rhabditida; Pratylenchidae.